This 557-nucleotide ribosomal RNA is filed under the name Humicola homopilata. RNAcentral's name for it is "partial large-subunit rRNA". It matches the Rfam family "Eukaryotic large subunit ribosomal RNA", at positions 83 to 666 of the family's 3401-position model. Lineage: Eukaryota; Fungi; Ascomycota; Sordariomycetes; Sordariales; Chaetomiaceae. The record is from RNAcentral.
GUACGGCGAGUGAAGCGGCAACAGCUCAAAUUUGAAAUCUGGCUUCGGCCCGAGUUGUAAUUUGCAGAGGAAGCUUUAGGCGCGGCACCAACUGAGUCCCCUGGAACGGGGCGCCACAGAGGGUGAGAGCCCCGUAUAGUUGGACGCCUAGCCUGUGUAAAGCUCCUUCGACGAGUCGAGUAGUUUGGGAAUGCUGCUCAAAAUGGGAGGUAAAUUUCUUCUAAAGCUAAAUACCGGCCAGAGACCGAUAGCGCACAAGUAGAGUGAUCGAAAGAUGAAAAGCACUUUGAAAAGAGGGUUAAAUAGCACGUGAAAUUGUUGAAAGGGAAGCGCUUGUGACCAGACUUGCGCCCGGCUGAUCAUCCGGUGUUCUCACCGGUGCACUCUGCCGGGCUCAGGCCAGCAUCGGUUCUCGCGGGGGGAUAAAGGCCCUGGGAACGUAGCUCCUCCGGGAGUGUUAUAGCCCAGGGUGUAAUGCCCUCGCGGGGACCGAGGUUCGCGCAUCUGCAAGGAUGCUGGCGUAAUGGUCAUCAGCGACCCGUCUUGAACCCCCGGAC